This 253-nucleotide ribosomal RNA is filed under the name uncultured bacterium. Its description in RNAcentral is "partial 16S ribosomal RNA". It matches the Rfam family "Bacterial small subunit ribosomal RNA", at positions 524 to 776 of the family's 1533-position model. The record is from RNAcentral.
UACAGAGGUGGCAAGCGUUGUUCGGAUUUAUUGGGCGUAAAGGGUCUGUAGGCGGCCCGGAAAGUCGGAUGUGAAAUCCCACAGCUUAACUGUGGAACUGCAUUCGAAACUUCCGGACUAGAGUGUGAGAGGGGUAAAGGGAAUUCCCGGUGUAAGGGUGAAAUCUGCAGAGAUCGGGAGGAACACCAGUCGCGAAGGCGCUUUACUGGCUCACUACUGACGCUGAGGGACGAAAGCUAGGGGAGCAAACGGG